Alligator sinensis (Chinese alligator) is the source of this 2493-nucleotide long non-coding RNA. RefSeq lists it as uncharacterized. NCBI's taxonomy places the organism in Eukaryota, Metazoa, Chordata, Crocodylia, Alligatoridae. The record is from RefSeq and is a predicted model, not a curated record. The transcript is spliced from 4 exons.
GUGGCUGUGCAGGGAGUUCAGCUCUUCUUGGGAACAACAGCAACGGCAUGCAGAUUCAUCCUUCUAGCAUCUGUUCCCUGCCAGCCAGGGAAAUGGGGGAGAGGAUCUGGGCAGGGACCAGAUACCGGAAGCUGUCCCUGACCAACCUGGGCUAUCAAAACUGCCUCUCCCCACAGCUCCCAGCUUGGGUGGUCUGAUACUUGAUUCUAAGACAGCACUUUGUUUUUUCCAUGAUGAAUGGGAGGGGGAGGGGGAGGAGGAGAGAGGGAGCUUGUCCUGGAAUUGAAUAAAUACGGUACUUGACUAUUAGGAUAGGCAACCUGAAUUGUGUCCUCUUACAUGCAGAAAGUUAAUUUUUAUUACAUAAUUGCAAACUACUUUCUCCACAGGGCCCUGAUUUGAUUCAGUGCAUCAGAUGGGUGGUGCUUAUGGAAAAAAAUCAAAGGUGCGUCAGGAAAGAUACCAUCAUUUCUAGACUUCUUCCUCAUUACUGAAGGAAUUGGAAGGUGAGUGGUGAAUGAAACAGGUUCUUGAUUGCAAAGAUCACUUCUCACUUCUGGGUUGGAAGGUGUCAUCCUCAUUCUACAAACCACUUGCUGUAGGUCAGGAUACAAAGUGAAGAAAAGCCUAUUCAAAGAAAAAAUGAAGUUUACUCUUGAUCCAGAUGUUGUAACAGCAGAUGAAUCCAGGGCAUCUGUAUACUGUUGUUGAGACAAUGUUGAGGCUGUGGAAAAGAAGUCAUGCAAAGUUGGAAAAGUGAAUAGAGCACACUUCCUACUGGGUUGAAGGUUUCCAGAAGAGCCCCAGAGUGAGCACCCACCAUCAUGGCAUGCCUCAGGGUCCUGGCCUGCCUGCACCCCACCAUGGCAUCCCAAUGCCUGUGCCUAUGCAGGGAGACCCAGGAUCUGAAGCAAGUCCUGCUUGUCAGCCAAUAUGACUCUCACCAGAGGCUGUGGGACACCAUGCACACCCACCUGGAACUGAUGCAGCAGUGGAUUGCUAUGGCAUGUGUCUUCGUGCCCAUGUGCCAGCAGUUGACCAUUCCAUAUAGGGCCACCCCGCACCCACCAAGCAUCCUGGACUAGGCAAUUGACUUCUAUGUGUCCUACAAGGAUGAGGCCAUGGUCACUAGGGUUCUCCAGACAGUUGAGCACUGGUACUGGGCCAAUGCCACUAGCAGUGACUGGUGAGAGUGGAUCGUCUUGGGCUCCUGGGAAGACAAACGGUAGGUCCAGACCUUCCAUGUGUGCUUGGCCAACUUCAUGGACAUCAUUGCCCAGGUGGCCCCAUACAUCUCAUGCCAGGAUGUUGGCAUGUGGCCACCUCUCAUUCCAGAGAAGUAGGUGGCCAUCGCUGUCAUGAAGUUGGCCACCCCCAGCAGUUACUAUUGCAUUGCCAUCCAGUUUGGCAUGGACAGGACCACAACCAGAGAGGCCAUCUGGGAGGUGUGCCUGGUCAUCCAGAAUGUCCUAGCCAAAUGCAUCAUCUGCCUUGUCAACCCACAGGUGGUGGUCUUCUGCUGCAUGGGCUUCCCCAACUGUGGGGGGGGCUAUGGACAGCACCCACACCCCCAUCCUCUGCCAGGUCCAGUUCACCCAGGCAUUCAUCCACCACAAGGGCUAAUUCUCCAUUGUCCUGCAGGGUGUUGUUUACCACUCAGGACACAUCUCUGGCUGGGCGGACAGCACCAAUGAUACUUACAUCUUCUACAACUCCCCAGUCUCCGGGUUGACAGAGAAGGGCUGCUAUGCUCCCAGGGUCCCAGAUUUUGUCUUUGGCAUCAUCACCCACCCUGUUAUCAUGAGGAAAAUGGUUUCCCCCCUCCUGCCCUGGAUAAUGAAGCCCUAUGGAGGGUAGUUGGAUCACUGGAAGAAGUACUUCAGCUACUGCCUGAGCAGAUGCCGCAUGACCGUAGAGUGCACCUUUGGGCACCUUAAGGUGCAAUGAUGGGCUCCCAGUGCACACUUUGAGGUGGACGAGGAAAACUUGCUGUGGCUCAUCACCAGUGCAUGUGUCCUCCACAACAUCUGUGAGACCAGGGAGAAAGCCUUCUGCUAAGGCUGAGCCAAGGAGGGACAGGACACAUACUAGUCAUGGCAGCAUGAGCAUAUGGGGCAGGGAUAGGAGAGAGGGGGAGCCCUCUGCUGAUGGCGGGGACACUAGCCCUGCACAAUGGCCAGCAAUCUGGAUCUGCAAAGCCCUGUCUAACUACCUGCUCACCCUCAAGGAUCAGGAGCCCUCCCUGGAUGAGUAGGGCUGGAGUGCUUUGAGUGCCCAUGCCCUGGCACUGGGCCAUGGGUCUCCUGCUCUGGGCUCCUCUGGCCCUGCAACCCAGGCAACAAUGCCAACAAGCCAGGCUGCUUGCACACCAUUCCUCUUUCCCACCCCCCAGGGACACACACCAGGGUACAGGGGAAGGCAACAUGAGGAAAAGACAUGCCUGAGUUUUUAAAAAAUGUUGCAGAUGCCAAACGUUUUGUGCAUUGAAUUAAA